GACGAACGCUGGCGGCGUGCUUAACACGCGCAAGUCGAACGGAAAGGCCCUGCUUUUGUGGGGUGCUCGAGUGGCGAACGGGUGAGUAACACGUGAGUAACCUGCCCUUGACUUUGGGAUAACUUCAGGAAACUGGGGCUAAUACCGGAUAGGAGCUCCUGCUGCAUGGUGGGGGUUGGAAAGUUUCGGCGGUUGGGGAUGGACUCGCGGCUUAUCAGCUUGUUGGUGGGGUAGUGGCUUACCAAGGCUUUGACGGGUAGCCGGCCUGAGAGGGUGACCGGCCACAUUGGGACUGAGAUACGGCCCAGACUCCUACGGGAGGCAGCAGUGGGGAAUAUUGCACAAUGGGCGGAAGCCUGAUGCAGCAACGCCGCGUGCGGGAUGACGGCCUUCGGGUUGUAAACCGCUUUCGCCUGUGACGAAGCGUGAGUGACGGUAAUGGGUAAAGAAGCACCGGCUAACUACGUG
Molecule: ribosomal RNA, 468 nt
Filed under: uncultured bacterium
Lineage: Bacteria
Description: partial 16S ribosomal RNA
Rfam family: Bacterial small subunit ribosomal RNA
Source: RNAcentral